GCCAGACCUGACUGCUAUCGGAUUGAUACUAAGCCAUGCGAGUCAUUGUAGCAAUACAAGGCAUACGGCUCAGUAACGCGUAGUCAACCUAACCUAUGGACGGGAAUAACCUCGGGAAACUGAGAAUAAUGCCCGAUAGAACAUUAUACCUGGAAUGGUUUAUGUUCCAAAUGAUUUAUCGCCGUAGGAUGGGACUGCGGCCUAUCAGUUUGUUGGUGAGGUAAUGGCCCACCAAGACUAUUACAGGUACGGGCUCUGAGAGGAGUAGCCCGGAGAUGGGUACUGAGACACGGACCCAGGCCCUAUGGGGCGCAGCAGGCGAGAAAACUUUGCAAUGUGCGAAAGCACGACAAGGUUAAUCCGAGUGAUUUCUGCUAAAGAAAUCUUUUGUUAGUCCUAGAAACACUAACGAAUAAGGGGUGGGCAAGUUCUGGUGUCAGCCGCCGCGGUAAAACCAGCACCUCAAGUGGUCAGGAUGAUUAUUGGGCCUAAAGCAUCCGUAGCCGGCUCUGUAAGUUUUCGGUUAAAUCUGUACGCUUAACGUACAGGCCGCCGGGAAUACUGCAAAGCUAGGGAGUGGGAGAAGUAGACGGUACUCGGUAGGAAGUGGUAAAAUGCUUUGAUCUAUCGAUGACCACCUGUGGCGAAGGCGGUCUACUAGAACACGUCCGACGGUGAGGGAUGAAAGCUGGGGGAGCAAACCGGAUUAGAUACCCGGGUAGUCCCAGCUGUAAACUAUGCAAACUCAGUGAUGCAUUGGCUUGUGGCCAAUGCAGUGCUGCAGGGAAGCCGUUAAGUUUGCCGCCUGGGAAGUACGUACGCAAGUAUGAAACUUAAAGGAAUUGGCGGGGGAGCACCACAAGGGGUGAAGCCUGCGGUUCAAUUGGAUUCAACGCCGGG
RNAcentral lists this ribosomal RNA (900 nucleotides) under uncultured archaeon. RNAcentral describes it as "bacterial SSU rRNA". It matches the Rfam family "Archaeal small subunit ribosomal RNA", at positions 16 to 922 of the family's 1478-position model. The record is from RNAcentral.